CAGCCGCCGCGGUAAUACGUAGGUGGCAAGCGUUGUCCGGAAUUAUUGGGCGUAAAGGGCUCGCAGGCGGUUUCUUAAGUCUGAUGUGAAAGCCCCCGGCUCAACCGGGGAGGGUCAUUGGAAACUGGGAAACUUGAGUGCAGAAGAGGAGAGUGGAAUUCCACGUGUAGCGGUGAAAUGCGUAGAGAUGUGGAGGAACACCAGUGGCGAAGGCGACUCUCUGGUCAGUAACUGACGCUGAGGAGCGAAAGCGUGGGGAGCGAACAGGAUUAGAUACCCGUGUAGUCCCUGUCUCUUAUAC
Molecule: ribosomal RNA, 301 nt
Filed under: uncultured bacterium
Lineage: Bacteria
Description: partial 16S ribosomal RNA
Rfam family: Bacterial small subunit ribosomal RNA
Source: RNAcentral